GUAUAUAUAAUGCUUUGAAUGAGUGGUCAACAACUUACAUUUACUGAUGUGGGGCAAAGCUCUCCCUCUGAUAGAUACCAUGUGCUGUUGGUGGCAACUUGAAGUAAUAUAGUGAUUGAGUCUGCAAGAGAUGACAUCACAGGAAGGUUACUGAUGAAGCAUGAAAACAUCUCAUCCUUUGCUGCUUUAUUGUGACCAUGGGCACAAGACUUCUCUGCUGUUCAGUGCUUUGUCUCCUGGGGGCAGGCUCUUUCGAUGCCAAAGUUACCCAGACUCCAAGACAUCUGGUCAAAGAGAAAGGACAGAAAGCAAAGAUGAGCUGUGGUCCAGAAAGGGGGCACACUGCUAUUUACUGGUAUCAGCAGAACCAGGACAAGGAAAUUAAAUUUUUGGUUUACUUUCGUAGUCAAGAAAUGCUUGACCAAAUAGAUGGGUUCAAGGAGCGAUUCUCAGCAGAAUGUCCUUCAGACUCACCAUGCAGCCUGGAAAUCAAGACCUCUGAAGCAGGAGACUCAGCAGUGUACCUCUGUGCCAGCAGUCAGUCCACAGUGUGGAAAUGUGCAUUUCCCUUAGUGCAGAAAUCCCCACUGGACAAAACUCAGGAAGCAGGUGAUGCCUGUGUUCAAAGGAAGUAA
This is a non-coding RNA of Nannospalax galili (Upper Galilee mountains blind mole rat), 635 nucleotides long. NCBI's taxonomy places the organism in Eukaryota, Metazoa, Chordata, Mammalia, Rodentia, Spalacidae. The record is from the annotation of a RefSeq genome assembly.